This 510-nucleotide ribosomal RNA is filed under the name uncultured bacterium. RNAcentral describes it as "partial 16S ribosomal RNA". It matches the Rfam family "Bacterial small subunit ribosomal RNA", at positions 28 to 507 of the family's 1533-position model. The record is from RNAcentral.
GACGAACGCUGGCGGCGUGCUUAACACAUGCAAGUCGAAGGAAGAGCGAUGGAAGCUUGCUUCUAUCAAUCUUAGUGGCGAACGGGUGAGUAACGCGUAAUCAACCUGCCCUUCAGAGGGGGACAACAGUUGGAAACGACUGCUAAUACCGCAUACGAUCUAAUCUCGGCAUCGAGGAUAGAUGAAAGGUGGCCUCUACAUGUAAGCUAUCACUGAAGGAGGGGAUUGCGUCUGAUUAGCUAGUUGGAGGGGUAACGGCCCACCAAGGCGAUGAUCAGUAGCCGGUCUGAGAGGAUGAACGGCCACAUUGGGACUGAGACACGGCCCAGACUCCUACGGGAGGCAGCAGUGGGGAAUCUUCCGCAAUGGACGAAAGUCUGACGGAGCAACGCCGCGUGAGUGAUGACGGCCUUCGGGUUGUAAAGCUCUGUUAAUCGGGACGAAAGGCCUUCUUGCGAAUAGUGAGAAGGAUUGACGGUACCGGAAUAGAAAGCCACGGCUAACUACGUG